AAUACUGCUCGACUAGAAUUUUCUCAAGGGAGAUCGGAACUGAGGGAGGAGUAGUGAAAUGCGUUGAUACCCUCGGGAACACCAGUGGCGUAGGCGGAUCUCUGGGAGAAGAUUGACACUGAGACACGAAAGCUAGGGGAGCGAAGCAGAUUAGAGACCUGCGUAGUCCUAGCCGUAAACGCAUGCUUGCUAGCUGCAUGAAUCUACCUUCGGGUGGUAUCGUGUGGCGAAGGUAACCCGUUAAGCAAGCCGCCUGGAAAGUACGGCCGCAAGGCUGAAAUUCAAAGGAAUUGGCGGGGAGGCACACAACCAGUGGAACAUGUGGUUUAAUUCGAGACUAACCGAAGAACCUCACCAGGGUUUGACAUGUAGCUGCACGUCUUAAGAAAUUAAGACUCUCUUGAAGGUGCUACACAGGUGCUGCAUGGCUGUCGUCAGCUCGUUCCGUGAGGAGUGCCCUUAAGUGGGACAACGAGCGCAACCCCUAUUACAUGUUAGAAAUGUCAUGUAAGACUGCCUUGUCAUUUGGCGGGGAGGAAGGAGGGGCAGACGUCAAGUCCGCAUGGUCCUUAUGCCCUGGGCUACACACAUGUUACAAUGAGUACGGCAAUGAGUCUGUCGCGAGCACGUAAGUGUAAGCUAAUCUCUUAAAUGUACUCUCAGUGGGGAUUGAGGUCUGCAACUCGACCUCA
RNAcentral lists this ribosomal RNA (692 nucleotides) under uncultured organism. RNAcentral describes it as "bacterial SSU rRNA". It matches the Rfam family "Bacterial small subunit ribosomal RNA", at positions 629 to 1320 of the family's 1533-position model. The record is from RNAcentral.